AAAAUUUAAAAUAAAAAUACUAAAAUAGUAGGUAGAUAAAUUAUUGAAACUUAAAUAAUUUGGCGGUAUUUUAGUUCAUUUAGAGGAAUCUGUUUAAUAAUUGAUAUUCCACGAAUUAAUUUACUUAAUUUAUAAUUUUGUAUAUCGUUGUUGGAAAAAUAUUUUUUAAUAAUAUUAAUAUUUUAAAAUUAAUAAUAAAAUUAAAAUCAGAUCAAGAUGCAGACUAUAAUUAAGAAUAUAAUGGAUUACAAUAAAUUUAUUUAAAUGAAUUUUAAUUUGUAAGAGUUAACUGAAGGUGGAUUUAAAUGUAAUUUUAUUUAAUUUAAUAAAAUGAUUAAAAAUUAAAAUAUGU
RNAcentral lists this ribosomal RNA (352 nucleotides) under Sesamia sp. SECOG7532. RNAcentral's name for it is "partial 12S small subunit ribosomal RNA". The record is from RNAcentral. Lineage: Eukaryota; Metazoa; Arthropoda; Insecta; Lepidoptera; Noctuidae. RNAcentral also lists the same sequence under 1 other name.